This is a long non-coding RNA of Octodon degus (degu), 625 nucleotides long. RefSeq lists it as uncharacterized. NCBI's taxonomy places the organism in Eukaryota, Metazoa, Chordata, Mammalia, Rodentia, Octodontidae. The record is from RefSeq and is a predicted model, not a curated record. The transcript has 3 exons.
AAGGUUUUUGUACACAUCCAUCGCAAAGUCAACCAUGUUGGUAUCACUAAGAAGGUCCAACUUCCCUUGUAAUAAUUCUUUCUCAUUGUAUAUCUCCUUCACAGAGAGAAAUUCCAAGAGCGGGAAGACCAGGUGCCGGUCCAGAAAGUGAGCGAUGCGCGUGGUCAGGUCGUACUCCGCCAUCUUGCCGGAGAAGAGGGAGUCUGUGUUCUCGAAAACUUUAUUAGUAGCGAGACAGACACGCCGCGGAAGUACUGCGCAUGCGUACGACUCGCUGCGGUCCGACCGACGGCGCAUGUGCAGAGGCCUCUCUUUGCGUCUGCGCCGGAGGGUGAUUUCUGCGUCCCUGUCCUUCAAGGCUGUGGAACCGGCGGUGCGCUCGCAGGUCCCGGCCGCUUCUACGUUCUUAGCGCUACGGUCCAGAGAGGAGGCCGCUGCGCCCCGAGAGCCCGCAGAAGGGAAACGGGUUGUCCGACGCCCGUGGUUCCUGUGCAGAGCUGCGGCCCUGGAGCCGGCAUCUGCGGACUCUAGGCAGAGCCACCUCACGUGGAGCGGGUGACAGGCCACUUGGUUGAGCAGCUCAGAAGACUUACAGAAGAGGAGUGUAGCAAGAGGCGUCUCAUUG